CUCACCGACUUUCCUAUUUCUCUAUUCAUCUGAGAAGGAAAAAGAGUCAGAGAAAUAAGGAUAGAGAAACUUAGAGAGAGAAAAGAUGUUUUCCUUCCACGCCUAGAUCGGCGAUGGGCCUUCGAUUCUUCUCAUCGUUUCCAUUGCUCUGGUUUCGGCGCCGCAGUUGUUAAGGUUAUCGUUGAGUCUUGGGAUGUGAAAGAUGAUUUUUCGAUCGUCACAUUUAUCAAGUUCGAUCUCGUUUUUCUCUCUCGAUUUAGUUUCAAAUUUUUGGGGUUUUAAUGUUUGAUUGUCGUGGGUUUUUGCAUAUAUGUUCCUGUUGUUUUUGAAUUCUUUGCGUUGAAUCUUUGUGGGUGUGAAAGGUGUCGAAGGUUACCAUUGAGUCUUGGGAUGUGAAAGGUGAGCUUAAAACCACCGAUCAUCCCUUAGACGAUGGUUAUGGGCUUCAAUUCUUCUCAGCGUUUCCGGUUUCAGCGCUGCGGUUGCUAAGUUAAGUGAAUAAACUCAGGUUUAUCUUCAAUCAUGGUGUCUGAUUAAACCAUCAAUGCUUCUAUUCUAAUGCUUUCAAGGAUUUCGGCAAGAAAAAACGGGCGAAUAGGUUGGCGAAAUUGAAGCAGUGUAACCUUGAUGGUCGUGUAUUAUUAUUAAUUUAUAUUUAGCAAGGAGAGGGCUUCUGUCUUCUUCAAAUCUCAAUUUCCCAAUCAAUAAGUACAAUCUAUGCUAUAUAUUUGGUACUCUGGGUCCCGGGUUUCAUGUCAAGUGAGUCUCGGGUUUGAGAUAAGGGCAUAAAAAGCUGUUGCCUCCUAUCCUUCACCCACCUCUUUCUUAUCCUCCACCACACCAACCUUUCCCCUGCUCCCUCACUCAACCAACCACCAGCUCAAACUCCAACCCAAUUAACGGUCACAGCCACGCACCUGGCAGCAACCUACCACCAAAAUCACCACAGUGCCACCACCAUUUCACACCAACCCAUUAGCCCCCGAAAACACCACUCACCAGCCACCACCAGCGAACAGCCACCACCACCUCCAAUCACCAAUCACCCCCGUAACAACCACCCAACUUCCUCAUCACAACCACGCACAUCACCACCAGCACCCACAAACCGCAACAACAACAACCUCCUCCUAUAACCAACUCCCCUACUACCACCAACCAAACCAGCCUCAACCGCCACCACAACCGCACCUUCCCCUGCUCAGUUUGCAGCAGCACCCCAACACACAAAACCACCUCACGCACAUAACCAGCUCCUACCACCGUCAACAGCCGCAUCACCAAUUUACAGCAACAAAUCAGCCACCAAUUGCAACCCCAAAUUGCCCAAGUAACAACCCCAAUUUAGAGUAAAUCACAAAUUGAUCGGGUUCGGGCAAACCAUUAAGGAGUUCGAUCGAAGUGCAAAAAAGUGGUAAAACAGUCAGGAACUUUUGAAGUUGUCUAACUUGAAUAGGUUUGGUCGAACAUACCCAUGAUUCGACCGAACCAACCCCGUAGUUCGGUCGAACCUACCCGAGGUUUGAUCGAACCAUUUUACGAGCAACACACGGGAUUUUAAUGAAGAUCAACCGGUCUAAUAAUGAUGAUGGUGAUGCAAUUGGUGAUGAUAGCCAUUGAUUUGGAGCAUUGAUUAUGAUCGGAUGGUGGUGAUUCAAUGAUAAUGGUUGACGAUGGUGGUAUGAUGAUAACAAAUCAGAGCAGCCAUAGAGAUCGAAGAAAAGGAAUGAAGUCUGGUUGUUUUGUGGGGCGUUUGGGUUUUUAUUAUUUUCUUUUCUUUUUAUUUUUAUUUCCUUUUUCCUUUCUCUUUUCUUAUUUCUUUUUAAUUCCUUUUCUUUCUUUAUUUAUUUCCUUCUUUUAUUUUUCUAUUUUUCCUAGCUUUGUAUAAAUACCCAUUUUUAGGGAAGGAAAAACAAUUACCAUUUAUUCUAUUCUCUAAUUAGUUUUUAGGAGAGAUUCUCUCUCUAGGUUUAGGUUAGGAUUAGGGCAGUUUAGAGAGAGAAAGUAAGGGUUUCACCAUUGU
Molecule: long non-coding RNA, 2023 nt
Organism: Chenopodium quinoa (quinoa)
Lineage: Eukaryota; Viridiplantae; Streptophyta; Magnoliopsida; Caryophyllales; Amaranthaceae
Exons: 4
Source: RefSeq, a predicted model, not a curated record